Molecule: ribosomal RNA, 863 nt
Filed under: Boeremia exigua
Lineage: Eukaryota; Fungi; Ascomycota; Dothideomycetes; Pleosporales; Didymellaceae
Description: LSU rRNA
Rfam family: Eukaryotic large subunit ribosomal RNA
Source: RNAcentral
GGAAGAAACCAACAGGGAUUGCCCUAGUAACGGCGAGUGAAGCGGCAACAGCUCAAAUUUGAAAUCUGGCGUCUUUGGCGUCCGAGUUGUAAUUUGCAGAGGGCGCUUUGGCAUUGGCAGCGGUCCAAGUUCCUUGGAACAGGACGUCACAGAGGGUGAGAAUCCCGUACGUGGUCGCUAGCCUUUACCGUGUAAAGCCCCUUCGACGAGUCGAGUUGUUUGGGAAUGCAGCUCUAAAUGGGAGGUAAAUUUCUUCUAAAGCUAAAUACUGGCCAGAGACCGAUAGCGCACAAGUAGAGUGAUCGAAAGAUGAAAAGCACUUUGGAAAGAGAGUUAAAAAGCACGUGAAAUUGUUGAAAGGGAAGCGCUUGCAGCCAGACUUGCCUGUAGUUGCUCAUCCGGGUUUUUACCCGGUGCACUCUUCUAUAGGCAGGCCAGCAUCAGUUUGGGCGGUUGGAUAAAGGUCUCUGUCACGUACCUCCUCUCGGGGAGAACUUAUAGGGGAGACGUAAUGCAACCAGCCUGGACUGAGGUCCGCGCAUCUGCUAGGAUGCUGGCGUAAUGGCUGUAAGCGGCCCGUCUUGAAACACGGACCAAGGAGUCUAACAUCUAUGCGAGUGUUUGGGUGUCAAGCCCGAGCGCGUAAUGAAAGUGAACGGAGGUGGGAACCUUUCGGGGUGCACCAUCGACCGAUCCUGAUGUCUUCGGAUGGAUUUGAGUAAGAGCAUAGCUGUUGGGACCCGAAAGAUGGUGAACUAUGCUUGAAUAGGGUGAAGCCAGAGGAAACUCUGGUGGAGGCUCGCAGCGGUUCUGACGUGCAAAUCGAUCGUCAAAUUUGGGCAUAGGGGCGAAAGACUAAUCGA